Molecule: ribosomal RNA, 389 nt
Filed under: Haptolina sp.
Lineage: Eukaryota; Haptophyta; Prymnesiales; Prymnesiaceae
Description: partial small subunit ribosomal RNA
Rfam family: Eukaryotic small subunit ribosomal RNA
Source: RNAcentral
AUUCCAGCUCCAAAAGCGUAUAUUAAAGUUGUUGCAGUUAAAACGCUCGUAGUCGGAUUUCGGGGCGAGCCUGCCGGUCUGCCGAUGGGUAUGCACUGGCAGGGUCGUCCUUCCUUCCGGAGACUGUCCCUACUCUUAACUGAGCGGGGUCGGGAGACGGAUCGUUUACUUUGAAAAAAUCAGAGUGUUUCAAGCAGGCAGCUCGCUCUUGCAUGGAUUAGCAUGGGAUAAUGAAAUAGGACUUUGGUGCUAUUUUGUUGGUUUCGAACACCGAAGUAAUGAUUAACAGGGACAGUCAGGGGCACUCGUAUUCCGCCGAGAGAGGUGAAAUUCUCAGACCAGCGGAAGACGAACCACUGCGAAAGCAUUUGCCAGGGAUGUUUUCAUUG